UGUCCUAAACACAAGAACAAAACUCCACGUUUGAAUUUAGCCACCUACUCAGAUUUUAAUCCAAAGUCCGAUAUAUAUAUAUAUAUAUAUAUAUAUAUAUAUAUAUAUAUUAUUAUAUAUAUAUUUUUUCCAAUACCAGAAACAUUUCCUAUGAUGCUGUAUUAAUAGCUAAAAACUAAACAAACUAUAAAAAAAAACACCUAAUCAGUCAACUCUGCAGUUUCUCUAAUCUCCGUGGGAUGUCCUCUCUUGCUGUUGUGCCUGUGAACUCUGACCUCUGGCUUCCAGCCCCUGUUCUCUCAGAACAUCGAACAAACGGUCAGGUUCUGCUCUAUCUGCGUCUUGUUAAACUUUGGACCAUCUCAGCUGAAAACCUUCAUGACAGUCUUGUGACUUCUGGCUCCAAAACGCCGACAUCAGCGACCCCCUCAUCUCCGUUGUGCAGAUCAACACAAAGCAGUGCAGGAUUUGAAGUGGAAGGAAAGCGAUGUUUCGACGACUUCUUUCACGCGUGAAAAUCUGAAAAGUGUGGCGUGCUUUUGUAGCAAGGUUACUUUAGGUUACUAAAAUGAAAGAAAUGGCAAACAUUUUUGUCAACUGAUAAAACUAAGUAAUGAGGGGGAAAACUAUAACAGGAACUAUAUUAUACCUUUAUAAAACAAACUAAAAUUCUGCUUUCAUGUUUAUAAAUCUAUUUAUUAGCAUUUCGAACUGAAGUGAAAUAGACUUUUUUUUUACACAGCACUUCAGACCUGCCUAUGCAUCUAUCUGGUAGUGAAUAUUAAACGGUAGAUACCAUCUUCAGAAAAUUGGUCCAAUUAUUAUUAUGUUUUCUCCCAACUAUUUCUGUCGCCAUUUUGUGGACAGUGUCAGUUAACUACUGCGAUUACUUUGCUGUGCAGACCUUUGACUAGUUUAAAUGAAAUGACUUAACUGGAUUCAAUAAAAUUUGAAGUGACGUACCAAGCGGGCGGAGCCAUGGUUCCCGUUGCCAGGAAACACGAAACCAGCCACAUGGCAUUCAGAGUCGGCCCCUUUACUGUAACAUUCCCUCUCCCUGUAGAACCUGAAGUUCCUGUCCGACCAGAACCAGAACCGAGCCGGGCGUCUCAUCCACCCAGCCAACACCUCAGACAAUCCACUUUUGAACGGCUUCAUGA
Molecule: long non-coding RNA, 1160 nt
Organism: Xiphophorus hellerii (green swordtail)
Lineage: Eukaryota; Metazoa; Chordata; Actinopteri; Cyprinodontiformes; Poeciliidae
Exons: 2
Source: RefSeq, a predicted model, not a curated record